GAUCCUGGCUCAGGAUGAACGCUAGCUACAGGCUUAACACAUGCAAGUCGAGGGGCAGCAUGGUCUUAGCUUGCUAAGACCGAUGGCGACCGGCGCACGGGUGAGUAACGCGUAUCCAACCUGCCUUACACUCUUGGACAGCCUUCUGAAAGGGAGAUUAAUACAAGAUGUUAUCAUGAGUAAGCAUUUUCGCAUGAUUAAAGGUUUACCGGUGUAAGAUGGGGAUGCGUUCCUA
Molecule: ribosomal RNA, 235 nt
Filed under: uncultured bacterium
Lineage: Bacteria
Description: partial 16S ribosomal RNA
Rfam family: Bacterial small subunit ribosomal RNA
Source: RNAcentral